RNAcentral lists this long non-coding RNA (418 nucleotides) under Ananas comosus (pineapple). Its description in RNAcentral is "long non-coding RNA (ACOM_LNC007396)". The record is from RNAcentral. Lineage: Eukaryota; Viridiplantae; Streptophyta; Magnoliopsida; Poales; Bromeliaceae.
GUUAUGUUUUGUUCCUUACAGCUCUAUACUACUGGUUGUAGUAUUGUAUUUUCACAGGUACAGCUAUCGCUUCGUAUAUAGGAAAAUUUUUUUUGUAUACGACGGAUUUGUCGGCGUGCCCAGGGAACGUGAUAUCUGGGGCGUGACAGAUUAAGUUGGUAUCAGAGCUUUGCAUUAGGUCGUUGGGACCUAGGAAACCUAAGUUUGGCAAACCUUAAAAAGGCAAGACGCGAGAGGUGUGAUUUAUCGCGAAAGUCAAUGAUUAAUUAUUUUAACUCCUCCUAGAGUGGAGUGAGUGAUUGAAGGAGUGUCUGUUUCGGUCAGAGAAAUUAUGUUGGCUGCAGACGACAUAAUUUUGAGGAGAAACAGAGGCCGCCUUCUAGACUUUCGUUGAUUAGGUCGAGAGUGUUUGUUUAAU